UGUACAUUCAAUUCUAAAAGUAUUUUAUUUAAUUAAAAGGAAACCUUCCAAUUUUCUACCACUAAAAAUCGGGAAAGUGACAACAAUUGCCUUUGUUGUUCGAGGUGUCCUCUGGUCUUGGGUCCUGAUCUGCCGAAAAUUCCCUCCCUGCCCCCAGGCACAUUGGUUUUGUAAAUGCCUGAGUGUGGCACCCUGUGGGAAAGAUGAGGCUUUGUAUGAAUGCAUUGUUAAGGCAGGUCUUGGGGAACCGUGCACGGGGACAUAAUAGCAGACUUCUGAUCUCUAGUUUGCAUUGAUCUUACAUUUAGACACAGAUUCAGAAGAACAGACCCUCCCUUUUCCAGUGCCUUCGGAAAGAUUGCCGCUCCGUAGAAUGAGUCCUUUCUCCUCCACCCUUAAUCUACAACCCAGCUUCCCCGGGAGAUCCUACUUUGAUUUCCGAUCCUCACCCCACCAGCUGAGCUUGCAUUCCUCUUUACAGUCUCUCAAUGCACCGGGAUGCAAUUUUGAGACACAAUCUGCACCUUACUCUCAAUUAGUUGACAUUAAAAAGCUGUUGGCAGGUAUGGAAUAACCUUAUUCUGUUACCAAAUAGCAAAGACCAAAGUGCAUGUGAGGUGUCUCACAGGUUUAAUAAAUC
Molecule: long non-coding RNA, 640 nt
Filed under: Homo sapiens (human)
Lineage: Eukaryota; Metazoa; Chordata; Mammalia; Primates; Hominidae
Description: non-protein coding lnc-PYGL-3:2
Source: RNAcentral